AGGAUAAUAGUUAAAAUUAACAUUUAAGUUGCAUUUAAAAAAUAUUGGACUUCCAAUUUAUCUUA
RNAcentral lists this transfer RNA (65 nucleotides) under Curculionoidea sp. 27 KM-2017. RNAcentral describes it as "tRNA-Ala". The record is from RNAcentral. Lineage: Eukaryota; Metazoa; Arthropoda; Insecta; Coleoptera.